Long non-coding RNA from Daphnia carinata, 1252 nucleotides. RefSeq lists it as uncharacterized. The transcript has 7 exons. The record is from RefSeq and is a predicted model, not a curated record. NCBI's taxonomy places the organism in Eukaryota, Metazoa, Arthropoda, Branchiopoda, Diplostraca, Daphniidae.
UGGCUUUCGAUUUGUAUCUUUUCGUCCACUUCAACCACGUCUUCCACACGUGGUACAGUAGUCGCCAUUAUUCUGCUUAAACAAAGUGAUUGAAAUGGUGCCGUUAUUACGAAACAUUCUGUACUCGGGAAAAUGGACUGUAACCACGAUGGAAAUUUUCUUAAACUAAAGAUGCCUCGAAAAUUCACCAAAUAUGGCAGCAAGAAACCUGUUUGUGGGAGCAGUAAAUGAGUCCGACAGCCCAAUUUGAAAUGCUACCAAUAAGUGGCUUGUAAAUUUAAUCUGCGUCUGGUGUUGUAUUCAAACCAAUAGUUUGAAAAGGUGACAUCUUAUCUAAUGAAGGACAUCACCUCUUGUGACUGAGGUUUUCUGAAUUUUUUGGUGUAUGCUGAUUUGGAUGAAACAGGUGAUGUCCUGUUUGGAAAGUCCAUCACAUUAUGGGGCUUUGAUUGCAUUAUGUGAUCCUCAGACUAUUCCAUUGCUUGGCCAGAAUACUAUUCGUGAAUGAACAGUCUUCUGUGAUCAGUGAAAUAUCAAAAUGAGUUCAAAAACAUCCUUCAUGGUUUUGACCAAAGAGAUCCGUACCGUCUGCAAAGAUCCAAGAAGUAGCAACAGUGGAAAUAUUCUGUCUGCUUCCUCAUUUUCUACGAGAUGGAAGGAUCAAGUCUAGUCUGGCAAUUUGUAAAUGUUUUGCAAUAUUUCUGAAUGUAAAUGUAAUUUUUCAACUUUCUUCUCAAGGAAUAUAAGUGUUAAGAAAUGUCACUGGAGAAUACCACCUAUUUGGUGAGUUAUAAAAGUGUGCUACAGAGAAAAUUUCCAGAGGAUUGGCUUUUACGUUAUGGUUAGGAAGAUCGUAAAACUAGUAGGGAAGAAACUGUUUUAUAGUUCGCUAAGAUUUGCACACCUAACAUAAUGCGGGCAUCGUCAACGAAGAAUCCUCGAGUGUGGAGACCUCCAUAGUAUUUCAGUGGAAAGUCUCAGCAUAGCAAAGCUGUAAGGGAUGUGAAAAUUCCUAAGUAUUUUGAAAAGAUGAGAUACUGUUCAUUAUCAUGUAACGCUGGUUGAUAGAAAGAAAUAUUUGGUGGUGAAAAAUGGUAUGAAGUUGAUGACGAACGUCUGUAAAAAUUUUCCUGGCAGUGAUUUCACAGCUUGAAGGUAAUCACUUGUUUCAUGUAUGCGUUGCUGUGCUUUUCCAUUUUAUUUUAUUAAUAUUUUCAAUUCGACCUAAAUUUUCUUCUAAUGAACAGUUCGA